Myotis brandtii (Brandt's bat) is the source of this 568-nucleotide long non-coding RNA. RefSeq lists it as uncharacterized. The transcript is spliced from 2 exons. The record is from RefSeq and is a predicted model, not a curated record. Lineage: Eukaryota; Metazoa; Chordata; Mammalia; Chiroptera; Vespertilionidae.
CCACGCCUCUCCGGCCGGGUCCUGCUGCCACGCGCUGCUCGGAUGCUUUGCGAGGAGACGUGGACCGCCGAGCUGCACCAGGCUUGCGGUUAGCUGGAGCCGCCGCAGAGCUAGCCCGGCCUCUUAAAGGGACAAGCAGCUUCCGCAGCGCUCGUUUCUGGAUUUAGGUCUCAGCAUCAUGUACAAAACCUUCUCUGCCCUCCCAGCACCCACCAGGUCUGGAUUGGGAUGCAUCCCCUGGACUAUGCCAGCACCAUGCCUACACACAGCAUGACAGACCAGGUACAUUCUCUUGUCAUCACUGGCGUUUUCAUCUGCAUCUCCACCCCACCCCAACCUCAACCCCCGAUGCUCACUACACCAUGAUCUCCAUCAGGCAGGGACCUUGAACCAGAACCAAGUCUAGUUCAUUGCUGUACUCCUGUGUCCUGGCAUGGUGCCUCGCACAUAAUAGCUUCUCAACAAAGAUGAGUUCAGGGAAACAAAUGAAUGAGCUGUUAGGGCUGGAAAAAAAUCCCUGUAAAGUGCAUCCUAGGUGCUCAAUAAAUGUUAGACUUUCGUAUUUUAA